RNAcentral lists this long non-coding RNA (274 nucleotides) under Elaeis guineensis (African oil palm). RNAcentral describes it as "long non-coding RNA (EGUI_LNC006082)". Lineage: Eukaryota; Viridiplantae; Streptophyta; Magnoliopsida; Arecales; Arecaceae. The record is from RNAcentral.
CUGCCGAUCAUCCUUCAUAAGAAUGGAUUGUACCACUACUUAUAUGCCUUUGAGACCUCCAAAAGGAUCAUUCUAGAAAUUAUUUCUCAAAUGAUUACACCAUACAAAAAUUAAAUCAGAUGUUCAACACUUGAACAAUCUAAUUUUAGGACAAGCAUCUCAUGCUUUCCUUUUACUUCCUCUCUUUCUUUCUAUUUUUCUCUCCCUUUUUCUUAUCUUUUUUUCAAACUUUUUUUUAUCAUUUUUUUCUCAUUUCCAUACCUACUCUCAGCCA